Transfer RNA from Loxodonta africana (African savanna elephant), 71 nucleotides. It matches the Rfam family "tRNA". Rfam says of the family: Transfer RNA (tRNA) molecules are approximately 80 nucleotides in length. Their secondary structure includes four short double-helical elements and three loops (D, anti-codon, and T loops). Lineage: Eukaryota; Metazoa; Chordata; Mammalia; Proboscidea; Elephantidae. The record is from Rfam.
GCGGUGGUGGUUCCAUGGUAGAAUUCUCACCUUCCUUGCAGGAGACCUGGGUUCGAUUCCCAGCCAAUGCA